UGGGGAAUAUUGCACAAUGGGCGAAAGCCUGAUGCAGCAACGCCGCGUGAGUGAUGAAGGUCUUCGGAUUGUAAAGCUCUGUCUUUUGGGACGAUAAUGACGGUACCAAAGGAGGAAGCCACGGCUAACUACGUGCCAGCAGCCGCGGUAAUACGUAGGUGGCGAGCGUUGUCCGGAUUUACUGGGCGUAAAGGGUGCGUAGGCGGAUGUUUAAGUGAGAUGUGAAAUACCCGGGCUUAACUUGGGUGCUGCAUUUCAAACUGGAUAUCUAGAGUGCAGGAGAGGAGAAUGGAAUUCCUAGUGUAGCGGUGAAAUGCGUAGAGAUUAGGAAGAACACCAGUGGCGAAGGCGAUUCUCUGGACUGUAACUGACGCUGAGGCACGAAAGCGUGGGUAGCAAACAGGAUUAGAUACCCUGGUAGUCCACGCCGUAAACGAUGAGUACUAGGUGUAGGAGGUAUCGACCCCUUCUGUGCCGCAGUAAACACAUUAAGUACUCCGCCUGGGAAGUACGAUCGCAAGAUUAAAACUCUAAAGUGAUUGAC
This 544-nucleotide ribosomal RNA is filed under the name uncultured bacterium. RNAcentral describes it as "partial 16S ribosomal RNA". It matches the Rfam family "Bacterial small subunit ribosomal RNA", at positions 355 to 914 of the family's 1533-position model. The record is from RNAcentral.